Molecule: unclassified non-coding RNA, 245 nt
Filed under: uncultured fungus
Lineage: Eukaryota; Fungi
Description: sequence contains 5.8S rRNA gene
Rfam family: 5.8S ribosomal RNA (bases 1-53)
Source: RNAcentral
GAACGCACCUUGCGCCCUUUGGUAUUCCGAAGGGCAUGCCUGCUCGAGCGUCAUUUCACCACUCAAGCCUCGCUUGGUAUUGGGCAACGCGGUCCGCCGCGUGCCUCAAAUCGUCCGGCUGGGUCUUCUGUCCCCUAAGCGUUGUGGAAACUAUUCGCUAAAGGGUGUUCGGGAGGCUACGCCGUAAAACAACCCCAUUUCUAAGGUUGACCUCGGAUCAGGUAGGGAUACCCGCUGAACUUAAG